GUGGGGGUACCGCUGAGUCUGCAACGUUGGCACCGCCAGUGACCGACGUGCGGAGCCGGGGAACCACCCCUUGUCGCCCGUCCUCGGGCGGGAGGGUCUUUCCCGGGGUGAAUCGGCGCGAGGGCCGCCCCCACGGGGUGGUGACACGCCGUAGGGCAGCUUCCGGCCCGAACCCGUCAGCUCACCCGGUAAGCGGCCGAAGGAAGAAGGA
This 211-nucleotide small RNA is filed under the name Wenjunlia vitaminophila. RNAcentral's name for it is "Streptomyces vitaminophilus c-di-AMP sequence". It matches the Rfam family "c-di-AMP riboswitch aptamer (ydaO/yuaA leader)". Rfam says of the family: This family represents a conserved RNA structure found upstream of the ydaO and yuaA genes in Bacillus subtilis and related genes in other bacteria. The ydaO/yuaA element is thought to act as a genetic "off" switch for the ydaO and yuaA genes in its native state. The record is from RNAcentral. Lineage: Bacteria; Bacillati; Actinomycetota; Actinomycetes; Kitasatosporales; Streptomycetaceae.